GAUGAACGCUGGCGGCGUGCCUAAUACAUGCAAGUCGAGCGAACAGACGAGGAGCUUGCUCCUCUGACGUUAGCGGCGGACGGGUGAGUAACACGUGGAUAACCUACCUACAAGACUGGGAUAACUUCGGGAAACCGGAGCUAAUACCGGAUAAUAUAUUGAACCGCAUGGUUCAAUAGUGAAGGACGGUUUUGCUGUCACUUAUAGAUGGAUCCGCGCCGCAUUAGCUAGUUGGUAAGGUAACGGCUUACCAAGGCAACGAUGCGUAGCCGACCUGAGAGGGUGAUCGGCCACACUGGAACUGAGACACGGUCCAGACUCCUACGGGAGGCAGCAGUAGGGAAUCUUCCGCAAUGGGCGAAAGCCUGACGGAGCAACGCCGCGUGAGUGAUGAAGGUCUUCGGAUCGUAAAACUCUGUUAUUAGGGAAGAACAAAUGUGUAAGUAACUAUGCACGUCUUGACGGUACCUAAUCAGAAAGCCACGGCUAACUACGUG
This 497-nucleotide ribosomal RNA is filed under the name uncultured bacterium. RNAcentral's name for it is "partial 16S ribosomal RNA". It matches the Rfam family "Bacterial small subunit ribosomal RNA", at positions 28 to 507 of the family's 1533-position model. The record is from RNAcentral.